AGUCGACGCUUUGUGGUUCAACUGAUUUGAAGAGCUUGCUCAGAUAUGACGAUGGACAUUGCAAAGAGUGGCGAACGGGUGAGUAACACGUGGGAAACCUACCUCUUAGCAGGGGAUAACAUUUGGAAACAGAUGCUAAUACCGUAUAACAAUGACAACCGCAUGGUUGUUAUUUAAAAGAUGGUUCUGCUAUCACUAAGAGAUGGUCCCGCGGUGCAUUAGCUAGUUGGUAAGGUAAUGGCUUACCAAGGCGAUGAUGCAUAGCCGAGUUGAGAGACUGAUCGGCCACAAUGGGACUGAGACACGGCCCAUACUCCUACGGGAGGCAGCAGUAGGGAAUCUUCCACAAUGGGCGAAAGCCUGAUGGAGCAACGCCGCGUGUGUGAUGAAGGGUUUCGGCUCGUAAAACACUGUUGUAAGAGAAGAAUGACAUUGAGAGUAACUGUUCAAUGUGUGACGGUAUCUUACCAGAAAGGAACGGCUAAAUACGUGCCAGCAGCCGCGGUAAUACGUAUGUUCCAAGCGUUAUCCGGAUUUAUUGGGCGUAAAGCGAGCGCAGACGGUUAUUUAAGUCUGAAGUGAAAGCCCUCAGCUCAACUGAGGAAUUGCUUUGGAAACUGGAUGACUUGAGUGCAGUAGAGGAAAGUGGAACUCCAUGUGUAGCGGUGAAAUGCGUAGAUAUAUGGAAGAACACCAGUGGCGAAGGCGGCUUUCUGGACUGUAACUGACGUUGAGGCUCGAAAGUGUGGGUAGCAAACAGGAUUAGAUACCCUGGUAGUCCACACCGUAAACGAUGAGUGCUAGGUGUUUGAGGGUUUCCGCCCUUAAGUGCCGCAGCUAACGCAUUAAGCACUCCGCCUGGGGAGUACGACCGCAAGGUUGAAACUCAAAGGAAUUGACGGGGACCCGCACAAGCGGUGGAGCAUGUGGUUUAAUUCGAAGCAACGCGAAGAACCUUACCAGGUCUUGACAUCCCUUGACAACUCCAGAGAUGGAGCGUUCCCUUCGGGGACAAGGUGACAGGUGGUGCAUGGUUGUCGUCAGCUCGUGUCGUGAGAUGUUGGGUUAAGUCCCGCAACGAGCGCAACCCUUAUUACUAGUUGCCAGCAUUCAGUUGGGCACUCUAGUGAGACUGCCGGUGACAAACCGGAGGAAGGUGGGGAUGACGUCAAAUCAUCAUGCCCCUUAUGACCUGGGCUACACACGUGCUACAAUGGCGUAUACAACGAGUUGCCAACCCGCGAGGGUGAGCUAAUCUCUUAAAGUACGUCUCAGUUCGGAUUGUAGGCUGCAACUCGCCUACAUGAAGUCGGAAUCGCUAGUAAUCGCGGAUCAGCACGCCGCGGUGAAUACGUUCCCGGGUCUUGUACACACCGCCCGUCACACCAUGAGAGUUUGUAACACCCAAAGCCGGUGGGGUAACCUUCGGGAGCCAGCC
Molecule: ribosomal RNA, 1438 nt
Filed under: Weissella confusa
Lineage: Bacteria; Bacillati; Bacillota; Bacilli; Lactobacillales; Lactobacillaceae
Description: bacterial SSU rRNA
Rfam family: Bacterial small subunit ribosomal RNA
Source: RNAcentral